GUACUUGUAUUACUUCACAAAAGCCUCUCCUAAGUCGUUGAAAGUGCGAAUGCUUGCACUAUCCAAUCCCAUGUACCAAGGAAGUGCAGCACCAGUAAGGCUAUCUUGGAAGUAAUGAAUAAGCAAUUGGUCAUUAUCUGUCUGCGUUGACAUCUUGCGGGCAUACAUCACAAGAUGAUUGAGCGGACAAAGUUUCUCCUUAUAUUUUUCAAAGUCAGGCACUUUGAACUUCACUAGAAUUUUGACAUUGGGCACCAAACAUAACUCGACAACAC
RNAcentral lists this long non-coding RNA (275 nucleotides) under Lathyrus oleraceus (garden pea). RNAcentral describes it as "Pisum sativum (pea) long non-coding RNA (PSAT_LNC006299)". The record is from RNAcentral. Lineage: Eukaryota; Viridiplantae; Streptophyta; Magnoliopsida; Fabales; Fabaceae.